GAUGCCUCUGAUUACAGCACAAAUGCUCGUCUAUCGCUCUGCUUCAAUGCUCCAUUUCUACAAACUAUCGUCGCCGCCUAAAUUGCUCCUCCAGCGGUUGAAGCACUCCUAUUCAUACCUCUCUAGUUCCCCUCUAUCAUCCUUAUCUUCUCCAACUUAUUCGUUGAGAAUCCGCUUGUUUUGGUUUAAUCAGUCAUACAGAAGAGGUAAUAGGCGUUUUUCUACUGCUGCUGCAGCUGUUGUCUCUGAUAAGGGGGGAAA
This 261-nucleotide unclassified non-coding RNA is filed under the name Hevea brasiliensis (rubber tree). The record is from RNAcentral. Lineage: Eukaryota; Viridiplantae; Streptophyta; Magnoliopsida; Malpighiales; Euphorbiaceae.